Molecule: ribosomal RNA, 425 nt
Filed under: uncultured bacterium
Lineage: Bacteria
Description: partial 16S ribosomal RNA
Rfam family: Bacterial small subunit ribosomal RNA
Source: RNAcentral
GUGGGGAAUCUUGCGCAAUGGGCGAAAGCCUGACGCAGCCAUGCCGCGUGAAUGAUGAAGGUCUUAGGAUUGUAAAAUUCUUUCACCGGGAACGAUAAUGACGGUACCCGGAGAAGAAGCUCCGGCUAACUUCGUGCCAGCAGCCGCGGUAAUACGAAGGGGGCUAGCGUUGCUCGGAAUUACUGGGCGUAAAGGGCGCGUAGGCGGACAGCUUAGUCAGAGGUGAAAGCCCAGGGCUCAACCUUGGAAUUGCCUUUGAGACUGGCUGUCUUGAGUUUGGGAGAGGUGAGUGGAACUCCGAGUGUAGAGGUGAAAUUCGUAGAUAUUCGGAAGAACACCAGUGGCGAAGGCGACUCACUGGCCCAAUACUGACGCUGAGGCGCGAAAGCGUGGGGAGCAAACAGGAUUAGAUACCCUGGUAGUCC